Molecule: ribosomal RNA, 1004 nt
Filed under: Vreelandella venusta
Lineage: Bacteria; Pseudomonadati; Pseudomonadota; Gammaproteobacteria; Oceanospirillales; Halomonadaceae
Description: bacterial SSU rRNA
Rfam family: Bacterial small subunit ribosomal RNA
Source: RNAcentral
GUUGAUCAUGGCUCAGAUUGAACGCUGGCGGCAGGCCUAACACAUGCAAGUCGAGCGGUAGCACAGAGAAGCUUGCUUCUUGGGUGACGAGCGGCGGACGGGUGAGUAAUGCAUAGGAAUCUGCCCGAUAGUGGGGGAUAACCUGGGGAAACCCAGGCUAAUACCGCAUACGUCCUACGGGAGAAAGGGGGCUCCGGCUCCCGCUAUUGGAUGAGCCUAUGUCGGAUUAGCUAGUUGGUGAGGUAAAGGCUCACCAAGGCGACGAUCCGUAGCUGGUCUGAGAGGAUGAUCAGCCACAUCGGGACUGAGACACGGCCCGAACUCCUACGGGAGGCAGCAGUGGGGAAUAUUGGACAAUGGGCGCAAGCCUGAUCCAGCCAUGCCGCGUGUGUGAAGAAGGCCUUCGGGUUGUAAAGCACUUUCAGCGAGGAAGAACGCCUAGCGGUUAAUACCCGCUAGGAAAGACAUCACUCGCAGAAGAAGCACCGGCUAACUCCGUGCCAGCAGCCGCGGUAAUACGGAGGGUGCAAGCGUUAAUCGGAAUUACUGGGCGUAAAGCGCGCGUAGGUGGCUUGAUAAGCCGGUUGUGAAAGCCCCGGGCUCAACCUGGGAACGGCAUCCGGAACUGUCAAGCUAGAGUGCAGGAGAGGAAGGUAGAAUUCCCGGUGUAGCGGUGAAAUGCGUAGAGAUCGGGAGGAAUACCAGUGGCGAAGGCGGCCUUCUGGACUGACACUGACACUGAGGUGCGAAAGCGUGGGUAGCAAACAGGAUUAGAUACCCUGGUAGUCCACGCCGUAAACGAUGUCGACCAGCCGUUGGGUGCCUAGCGCACUUUGUGGCGAAGUUAACGCGAUAAGUCGACCGCCUGGGGAGUACGGCCGCAAGGUUAAAACUCAAAUGAAUUGACGGGGGCCCGCACAAGCGGUGGAGCAUGUGGUUUAAUUCGAUGCAACGCGAAGAACCUUACCUACUCUUGACAUCCUGCGAACUUGUGAGAGAUCACU